RNAcentral lists this non-coding RNA (2056 nucleotides) under Cyathus striatus. RNAcentral's name for it is "small subunit ribosomal RNA". The stretch from base 1 to 1836 matches the Rfam family "Bacterial small subunit ribosomal RNA". Lineage: Eukaryota; Fungi; Basidiomycota; Agaricomycetes; Agaricales; Nidulariaceae. The record is from RNAcentral.
CAAAUCAGGAAUUUAAUUUUGGUUCUGAUUGAACGUUGUUCAGUAGUUUUAAGACAUGCAAAUCGUUAUUACCGAUUAAUUAAAUUAGAUUAAUUCUGAAUUAAUUAUUAUUAGGGAUAAGGUGUACGGGUGAGUAAUAAUAAAUAAGAUUUCUUAUAGUCUCAGUAGAUUUGGGAUAGCUUUAUUUCUUUCUUUCUUUCUUUAAGAUAUUUAAAAGCAUUAAUAUAAAAAAACUCUUUUUAUAAUAGAACUUUUUUAGGUGAAAGAUCACUAUAAAUAUAGGACAGUAAAGCAUAAAUAUUACUAUAAUUUAUAAUAAAGGAAUUUUUCCGCUAUAGGUUUCGAUUUAUUUUGUUUAAUGGUAGUUGGCAGGGUAAAAGCCUCCCAAGCCUACGAUCAAUAGUCAUGCUUGAUAGAGCCUCUGGCCACAUUGGGUCUGGAAAACCCCAAGUAGAUAUCUACCAGCAGUCAAGAAUCUUAGUCAAUGCUCGCAAGAGUGAACUAGCUAACUGAAGUAGUCGGGAACUGAAUGGAAGUUCUUUUUUCGAUUAAGUGAUAGAAUCUAACAAUGAUAGAACUAUCUUUAAGUGUUGUCCAAGUUACUGGUGCCAGAAGACUCGGUAAGGCCAGAAACGCUAACGUUAGUCGUCAUAAACAGGCGUAAAGGGUAUGUAGGCAGCUUUGAAAGUUUAGACCUUUAACUGCUAUAUAGUAAUCUUUCUAAUAUAAUCAAAUCGCUUUUUUAGCCAUUUAUUAUAAAAAAAGAAGUUAAAAACUUAGACCCGCUCAAAGCUAGAAUCUUGAAGGAGGAUAAUACAAAUAAUACUUAGACGAGGGGUGAUAUCCUAAGACACUAGGUGGAAUACUAAAGGUGAAAGCUUUUUAUCUAACACAGAUUGACGCUGAGAUACGAAGGUGAGAAUAGGAAAUAGGAUUAGAUACCCAGAUACCUCUCACUGUCAACGAUGAAUGGUAAUCGGUAUUCUUUUUUAGGGUGCUGAUACAGCUAACGCGUUAACCAUUCCGCCUUGCGAAUACGGUUGCAAAACUAAAAGCAAAAAAAUUAGUCGGUUUCGGAGCAAACGAAGUGAAGCAUGUAGUUUAAUACGAUAGUCCGCGUAAAAUCUUACCAGGUCUUGAAUAAACACUACCACUAUUCAUAAAAUCUUUAAAUAAAACGAGCAAUUCUAACAAGGAAAUUUAUGUUUUUUGUUUUUUUUUUGUUUAGUUCUAAAUCUAGAAAUUCUGAAAACUCAGGUAGUGAGAAACAGUCUAAUCUCUUUAAUCAUUAGACUGUGCGUUUACAGGUGUUGCAUGGCUGUCGUCAGUUCGUAUUGUGAGAAGUUAGGUUAAUUCCACUAACGGGCGAAAUCCCUAUUGCUAAUUAACUCUUAGCAAUUUACGAUUGAUGAGAUUGUAAUUUUGGGGCUAAGACAAGUCGUUAUGGCCCUUAUGACCUGGGCUACUCACGUGCCACAAAAGCUUUUACAAAGUGACGCAAAAACCUAGCCUUUAUAAAAAAUGUAUCCUCUAAACACUGAAAUAGUGACAUUUUAACGGUGAAGAUCACAAGAAAAUCUCUUCUCUCACCGUAGGCACAAAGGAAUAGCUAAUCAUUAAAGAAAGCUAGUUUAAUACAAAAGACGCCGAUUGUCUCCUGUAACUCGGAGGCAUGAAGUAGGAAUUUCGAGUAAUCGUUGAUCACUAGCGCAACGGUGAAGCUUGGAUCCGAGAUGAACUAACUGUCUGUCGCUGGGGCGAAGCUUAUAUCUUCGUAGCUGGAUAGAGGCAUGAUAAGGAUUCUAUUCUGAAGAGGCUAGUCGAAUUUUUUAUUUGAAUGGUUUCUUCGUUUUUUUGUCUUUUGAUAGAAUUUUCUUUUUUGUUCUUUCUAUCGGACUACUCGAGUUCUGUAUAAAUUUAAUUUAUUGAAAUUAUACAGUCUAGAAAAACACUUAGAAUUAUCUUACGUGUGGAGUUUAGCGAUAUUUUAUGAGUAACAUCUCAAAAGUCAUAGCAAGGUAGCUGUACUGGAAAGUGCUGCUGGAAAUUAACUAUA